AGUGAACGCUGGCGGUAGGCCUAACACAUGCAAGUCGAACGGCAGCACAGUAAGAGCUUGCUCUUACGGGUGGCGAGUGGCGGACGGGUGAGGAAUACAUCGGAAUCUACUUUUUCGUGGGGGAUAACGUAGGGAAACUUACGCUAAUACCGCAUACGACCUACGGGUGAAAGCAGGGGAGCUUCGGACCUUGCGCGACUGAAUGAGCCGAUGUCGGAUUAGCUAGUUGGCGGGGUAAAGGCCCACCAAGGCGACGAUCCGUAGCUGGUCUGAGAGGAUGAUCAGCCACACUGGAACUGAGACACGGUCCAGACUCCUACGGGAGGCAGCAGUGGGGAAUAUUGGACAAUGGGCGCAAGCCUGAUCCAGCCAUGCCGCGUGAGUGAAGAAGGCCUUCGGGUUGUAAAGCCCUUUUGUUGGGAAAGAAAAGCAGCAGGUUAAUCCCCCGCUGUUCUGACGGUACCCAAAGAAUAAGCACCGACUAACUUCGUG
RNAcentral lists this ribosomal RNA (492 nucleotides) under uncultured bacterium. Its description in RNAcentral is "partial 16S ribosomal RNA". It matches the Rfam family "Bacterial small subunit ribosomal RNA", at positions 29 to 507 of the family's 1533-position model. The record is from RNAcentral.